GGGUCGCUAGCUCAGCGGUAGAGCACCCGGCUUUUAACCGGAGAGUCGCAGGUUCGAUCCCUGCGCGGCCCA
RNAcentral lists this transfer RNA (72 nucleotides) under Candidatus Yanofskybacteria bacterium RIFCSPHIGHO2_01_FULL_41_53. RNAcentral's name for it is "tRNA-Lys". It matches the Rfam family "tRNA". Rfam says of the family: Transfer RNA (tRNA) molecules are approximately 80 nucleotides in length. Their secondary structure includes four short double-helical elements and three loops (D, anti-codon, and T loops). The record is from RNAcentral. RNAcentral also lists the same sequence under 4 other names. Lineage: Bacteria; Candidatus Yanofskyibacteriota.